GUUAUCGUUUAUUUGAUAGUACCUUACUACUUGGAUAACCGUGGUAAUUCUAGAGCUAAUACAUGCUAAAAACCUCGACUUCGGAAGGGGUGUAUUUAUUAGAUAAAAAACCAAUGCCCUUCGGGGCUCCUUGGUGAUUCAUAAUAACUUAACGAAUCGCAUGGCCUUGUGCCGGCGAUGGUUCAUUCAAAUUUCUGCCCUAUCAACUUUCGAUGGUAGGAUAGUGGCCUACCAUGGUUUCAACGGGUAACGGGGAAUUAGGGUUCUAUUCCGGAGAGGGAGCCUGAGAAACGGCUACCACAUCCAAGGAAGGCAGCAGGCGCGCAAAUUACCCAAUCCCGACACGGGGAGGUAGUGACAAUAAAUACUGAUACAGGGCUCUUUUGGGUCUUGUAAUUGGAAUGAGUACAAUUUAAAUCCCUUAACGUUAGGGGAUUGACAACGAGUCGCGUUCUGCGGCGACACCUCCACUCUUCGAGGACCGUCAUCUGACGGAAUUCGAGGCAUAGCAAUCCGCUGUGUUAAGAGACCAGAUGGAGGUGGGCAACAGCUGUUGUUUUAGGUAUGGCCCAAUCCUGUGAGCAAUCACUGGUAGCAAUGUAACGAGGAACAAUUGGAGGGCAAGUCUGGUGCCAGCAGCCGCGGUAAUUCCAGCUCCAAUAGCGUAUAUUAAAGUUGUUGCAGUUAAAAAGCUCGUAGUUGAACCUUGGGCCUGGCUGGCCGGUCCGCCUCACCGCGUGCACUGGUCCGGCCGGGCCUUUCCUUCUGGGGAACCGCAUGCCCUUCACUGGGUGUGUCGGGGAAUCAGGACUUUUACUUUGAAAAAAUUAGAGUGUUCAAAGCAGGCCUAUGCUCGAAUACAUUAGCAUGGAAUAAUAGAAUAGGACGUGUGGUUCUAUUUUGUUGGUUUCUAGGACCGCCGUAAUGAUUAAUAGGGAUAGUCGGGGGCAUCAGUAUUCAAUUGUCAGAGGUGAAAUUCUUGGAUUUAUUGAAGACUAACUACUGCGAAAGCAUUUGCCAAGGAUGUUUUCAUUAAUCAGUGAACGAAAGUUAGGGGAUCGAAGACGAUCAGAUACCGUCGUAGUCUUAACCAUAAACUAUGCCGACUAGGGAUCGGGCGA
This 1121-nucleotide ribosomal RNA is filed under the name Pallidophorina paarla. RNAcentral's name for it is "bacterial SSU rRNA". It matches the Rfam family "Eukaryotic small subunit ribosomal RNA", at positions 109 to 1060 of the family's 1831-position model. The record is from RNAcentral. Lineage: Eukaryota; Fungi; Ascomycota; Leotiomycetes; Phacidiales.